Small nucleolar RNA from Lycium barbarum (goji berry), 97 nucleotides. RefSeq annotates it as small nucleolar RNA Z103. NCBI's taxonomy places the organism in Eukaryota, Viridiplantae, Streptophyta, Magnoliopsida, Solanales, Solanaceae. The record is from RefSeq and is a predicted model, not a curated record. The transcript has a single exon.
AUGUAUGUGAUGAUUAUGUCCCCAGGUGAUUGAAGCUGAAAUUACUGACUGUAUUUUCUCCUUUGAGGGAAAAGCCAAGCCAGAUAUUCUGAUCCAU